This 253-nucleotide ribosomal RNA is filed under the name uncultured bacterium. RNAcentral describes it as "partial 16S ribosomal RNA". It matches the Rfam family "Bacterial small subunit ribosomal RNA", at positions 524 to 776 of the family's 1533-position model. The record is from RNAcentral.
UACGUAGGGUGCAAGCGUUGUCCGGAAUUAUUGGGCGUAAAGAGCUUGUAGGCGGGUUGUCGCGUCUGCUGUGAAAUUUCGGGGCUCAACCCCGAACUUGCAGUGGGUACGGGCAGACUAGAGUGUGGUAGGGGAGACUGGAAUUCCUGGUGUAGCGGUGAAAUGCGCAGAUAUCAGGAGGAACACCGGUGGCGAAGGCGGGUCUCUGGGCCGAUAUUGACGCUGAGGCACGAAAGCUAGGGGAGCAAACAGG